AGUGGGAUAGCUGGGUCAAAAGGUGACCAUUCCCAGUUUUCCAAGGAUUCUCCAUACUGCUUUCCAAAGUGGCUGCACCAAUUUGCAGUCCCACCAGCAAU
This 101-nucleotide microRNA precursor is filed under the name Marmota monax (woodchuck). Lineage: Eukaryota; Metazoa; Chordata; Mammalia; Rodentia; Sciuridae. The record is from RNAcentral.